GUAGGUGGCAAGCGUUGUCCGGAAUUAUUGGGCGUAAAGCGCGCGCAGGCGGUUCUUUAAGUCUGAUGUGAAAGCCCACGGCUCAACCGUGGAGGGUAAUUGGAAACUGGAGAACUUGAGUACAGAAGAGGAAAGCGGAAUUCCACGUGUAGCGGUGAAAUGCGUAGAGAUGUGGAGGAACACCAGUGGCGAAGGCGGCUUUCUGGUCUGUAACUGACGCUGAGGCGCGAAAGCGUGGGGAGCAAACAGGGAUUAGAUACCCUGGUAGUCCACGCCGUAAACGAUGAGUGCUAAGUGUUAGGGGGUUUCCGCCCCCUUAGUGCUGCAGCUAACGCAUUAAGCACUCCGCCUGGGGAGUACGGCCGCAAGGCUG
RNAcentral lists this ribosomal RNA (373 nucleotides) under uncultured organism. RNAcentral's name for it is "partial 16S ribosomal RNA". It matches the Rfam family "Bacterial small subunit ribosomal RNA", at positions 527 to 896 of the family's 1533-position model. The record is from RNAcentral.